Molecule: ribosomal RNA, 426 nt
Filed under: uncultured bacterium
Lineage: Bacteria
Description: bacterial SSU rRNA
Rfam family: Bacterial small subunit ribosomal RNA
Source: RNAcentral
GCAGAACGCGAAGAACCUUACCUGGGCUAGAAAGCGUAAGAACCUUGGUGAAAACUGAGGGUGCCCUUCGGGAACGUUACGAUUAGGUGCUGCAUGGCUGUCGUCAGCUCGUGUCGUNGAGAUGUUGGGUUAAGUCCCGCAACGAGCACAACCCCUGUGAUCUGUUGCUAACCGGCUUGUCCGGAGCACUCUGGUCAGACUGCCCUGUGAAACGGGGAGGAAGGUGGGGAUGACGUCAAGUCAGCAUGGCCCUUACGCCCAGGGCUGCACACGUACUACAAUGCUCAAGUACAGAACGAGCCGAAACCGCGAGGUGGAAGGAAAUCCCUAAAACUGAGCCCAAUUCGGAUCGCAGGCUGCAACUCGCCUGCGUGAAGCCGGAAAUCGCUAGUAAUGGCGCAUCAGCUACGGCGCCGUGAAUACGUU